UCCUUAGAUGUUCUGGGCCGCACGCGCGCUACACUGACGGAGUCAACGAGUUGUCCUGCAUCGGAAGGUGUGGGUAAUCUUUUGAAACUUCGUCGUGCUGGGGAUAGAUCUUUGCAAUUUUCGAUCUUGAACGAGGAAUUCCUAGUAAGCGUGAUUCAUCAGAUCGCGUUGAUUACGUCCCUGCCCUUUGUACACACCGCCCGUCGCUACUACCGAUUGAAUGGUUUAGUGAGGCCUCGGGACUGGCGCGCUCGAGUAGCAAUACACCUGCGCGCCGGGAACUUGGUCAAACUUGAUCAUUUAGAGGAAGUAAAAGUCGUAACA
RNAcentral lists this ribosomal RNA (324 nucleotides) under uncultured eukaryote. RNAcentral's name for it is "partial 18S ribosomal RNA". It matches the Rfam family "Eukaryotic small subunit ribosomal RNA", at positions 1470 to 1796 of the family's 1831-position model. The record is from RNAcentral.